ACAGUGUUGACUUCAUAACAAAUGGAAGCAAUAUAUAUGACUAUAAGAGCACAAAGGGUAGAAGAGAAAUCAUAUGAAUUACAGCGUUUCAUGGUUCUUAACACUACAAAGUGGGCUCACCAGUCACCAACU
Non-coding RNA from Callorhinus ursinus (northern fur seal), 132 nucleotides. The record is from RefSeq and is a predicted model, not a curated record. Lineage: Eukaryota; Metazoa; Chordata; Mammalia; Carnivora; Otariidae.